This is a long non-coding RNA of Micropterus dolomieu (smallmouth bass), 994 nucleotides long. RefSeq lists it as uncharacterized. The transcript has 2 exons. The record is from RefSeq and is a predicted model, not a curated record. Lineage: Eukaryota; Metazoa; Chordata; Actinopteri; Centrarchiformes; Centrarchidae.
AUAAACAAACAUCCACUAAACUGUUUACAACAGCCUAUUAAAUGUGACCUCUAAAGGCGUACUGUAAGCUUGGUGCUCACUUAGCAGUGUUGCCUCGAUGACUGAACAACAGUAACUAUUUGACCUUUGGCAGAAAAACUGAAAAAGACACAGAUUUGUUUCAGCCACCUGGAUGAAAAUGUGUUUGGCUCCGCCACUAAAGUCUGGGUGAGAUAAUUCUACUUGUUGCUAUGCAGAUUCGUUAGUUUCGGGGAUUUCUGAGACAUAAAAUGUUCAACAAGGCAACACAGAUUAGACUGACGGAUUCCUGAAACUAAAGAAACCAGUUGAUUUUCAGGAUAUUCUUAAUCUCAUCACAGUAAUCAUUUGAAUUGUGAUGCAACUAUAAGCAACAGAAUGUAAUGAAGAACUAAAGUCAAGUUAGAAUGGAUAUUUGGCUUAGUGGUGUGUUAGGAUGAAACACAAUUUACACCUGUUACGUUCAGGUCCAGUAUCCGCUGCAGCUGAGGACAAACUACACAUUAAGGGAUACGUCACCUUCCCUUUUAUUCCUCGCCACGCCUGAAUCAGUCGCUGCUGCCUCUUCACCUCAUCCAUAGCGUAAAGUGUUGUAAUGGAGUUCCAGUGUCUUUCUGUCCAGUGACACGUUUCAAAGCAUCAUGAUUUUGGUGUUGGAGUUUUAGUGAGUAGAUGACCACAGCACUAGAACUCGUAUCCGGUUCUGUCUUUGCAAUACAACUGUCUUCCUGAGUCCUCGGUGACGCAACAGGACAAAGCAGGACACACGUGGAAUUGAUUCAUAGUACAAGUAGAGGUUUGUAUGUACAGUAGUGUGUAAGCUACAGAAUACAAUGAAUUUGUAGUGGCAUGUUCACAUCAGAGGCCUAUAGAUUUGGAUAGAUAAUUUUAUAUCAAAGAGAACAUGAAAGAAAAUCUUAAUUUGUCAAACUUUGAAGUGGUUCAUUUUAAUAAAUAAGAAAUUGAAUAAUAUGAA